AUGACAUCGGGAUGGAAGCGGGAUCCUCGUAACGCAGCGGAGAGAUAUAGCGUAAAGCCCGACAGCAU
RNAcentral lists this unclassified non-coding RNA (68 nucleotides) under Flavobacterium succinicans. RNAcentral describes it as "Flavo-1 RNA". Lineage: Bacteria; Pseudomonadati; Bacteroidota; Flavobacteriia; Flavobacteriales; Flavobacteriaceae. The record is from RNAcentral.